RNAcentral lists this ribosomal RNA (472 nucleotides) under uncultured bacterium. RNAcentral describes it as "bacterial SSU rRNA". It matches the Rfam family "Bacterial small subunit ribosomal RNA", at positions 26 to 518 of the family's 1533-position model. The record is from RNAcentral.
AGGACGAACGCUGGCGGCGUGCUUCAUACAUGCAAGUCGAACGAUAAGGUCUCUUCGGAGAUACAUAAGUGGCGGACGGGUGAGUAAAAUGUAGAGAAUCUGCCCUAGAGAUGGGGACAACAGUUGGAAACGACUGCUAAUACCCAAUAUGAGCGUAGCUGAAAUGCUAUUCUUGAAAACUCCGGUGCUCUGGGAUGAGUCUGCAUCUGAUUAGCUAGUUGGGGGUGUAAUGGACCACCAAGGCGACGAUCAGUAGCUGGUUUGAGAGGAUGAUCAGCCACAAUGGGACUGAGACACGGCCCAUACUCCUACGGGAGGCAGCAGUAGGGAAUUUUGCGCAAUGGGGGAAACCCUGACGCAAGCAACGCCGCGUGAUUGAUGAAGCCCUUCGGGGUGUAAAGAUCUGUCAGUGGGGACGAAAAAUGACGGUACCCACAGAGGAAGCAUCGGCUAACUCCGUGCCAGCCGCCGC